CCAAAAUGAAACGUUCGAGUGACUCGGAGUUCAGCGGCACCGCCACCUACUGGCUUGGAGGAAAAUUGCAAGUAUCAAUCAAAACAAUCGAUCCAAACCAUGGUUGGUUCUCAACUAGUUAUUCAGGAUAACAACCUAACCGUCGUAGAUUUAGUUCAAUCAUUCAAGAACAUUGAAGUAGUCACCAUCGUAGCACAUUAUGUUGUUAAAAACAAAGUGGCAUCAGUGUUUCAGAGCGGAUCUAUCCAUCAGAGCGGAUCUAAAUGGAUCUUCCUCACGCUGGAGGGAUAACUGUACUCAACUUUUUUGUCCAUCAGAGAGGAUCUAAACAGAUCUAUCCAUCAGAGCGGAUCUAAAUGGAUCUUCCUCAUGCUGGAGGGAUAACUCAACUUUUUUGUCCGUCAGAAUGGAUCUAAACGGAUCUAUCCAUCAGAGCGGAUCUAAAUGGAUCUUCCUCACAUGGAGGGAUAACUGUACUCAACUUUGUUGUCCGUCAGAAUGGAUCUAAAUGGAUCUACCCAUCAGAGCGGAUCUAAAUGGAUCUUCCUCACGCAUGGAGGGAUAACUGUAAAAACAUUUGUCAAGCAGUUGUGCGUUUAAACAGUACCCUUACAGACAAAUCUUCCUGGACUAACUCUGUCAGAGAUCCAUCCAGGGAUAGCAAAUGCAUACUUCCUAUUUCUCCCAGCUCUUUCAACCAGAGAGCAAGAUUUAAAAUGCAUUAAAAAUCAGAAAUAAAAAGAUGAUACAUAAAAGAUUGAUAGCCUACAGUGGCUAAUUCAAAAGCUUGUUAUGUUGAGAAUGUCAGAAUUAGCUGAACAAUAUGCAUAAUAUAUACAAUAUGUGUUAUAUUGGUGUUCUCCAAGAUAGAUAGAUAAAUUGAUUGAUUGAUUGAUAAACCAAAAGUAAUGGUGGUCUAUCGGUAUUGCCUGUGUAAGCAGUGCAGUGAAGCAACAAGUCCUUUACAUCCCUCAUCAACAUUUAUUGUUUACCUCUUUAAUUAGAUCCUGAGCAAUGUAGUCAGAAUGUUGACCUGCCUUAAGCUGUGGCUUUAGGAAAAUAGAAACAGAUCCCCCCCAACCUGUCCCCCCUUCUUCAUCUACCUCAAAAACAAAGUGGUCAACUUCAGUAGCCCACAGCCCUAUACACAACCCACUCUGAUCCAGACUUUUUUGAGAAUAUGGAAGAGGAGACGCUGCUCAGCUUUCUACCACCCACCGUGUGACCACCUGCCCUCUCGAUCCAAAAUAUCUUCUCUGAUCUUGUACCAUACUUUAUCUCUGUCAUCAGUACAUCUUUGACCAGAAGCUCUGUCCCAUUAGACUUCAUAAAGGGAUAUUUCAUCCAAAAAUAAAAAUUCUGUCAUCAUGUACUCAAGCA
Molecule: long non-coding RNA, 1380 nt
Organism: Megalobrama amblycephala (Wuchang bream)
Lineage: Eukaryota; Metazoa; Chordata; Actinopteri; Cypriniformes; Xenocyprididae
Exons: 2
Source: RefSeq, a predicted model, not a curated record